CGCUCCUCGCCCUCAGCGCUUUCCUCCUGGCCUGCGUCAUUCUGCAUUGGGGGGCGGCGGGCAUGACAGAAUGCUGACACCACAAUUUGAAGCAUCAUGGAGUUAUGGGAGCCUGAUGUUUUUUGUUUUGUUGGUGACGUCGGGUCUGGGUGCCGCUAUUGGAGGAGCCAUGGGUGCCUCAGCUGGCUCAUCGAGCUUCCAUGCCUUAGCUGGCUCGAGAGGUUUCCUUGCCUUGGUUGGCUCGGCAGGUUCCCAUCCCACGUCAUGCCUCAGCCGGCUCGUUGGGCUUCAACAACUCAGCCGGCUCAUCAGGCUCCCAUCCCAUGUCAUGUCUCAGCCAGUUCGUCGGGCUCCCACGCCUCAGCCGGCUCAUCAGGCUCCCAUCCUACGUCAUGCCUCAGCCGGCACAUCAGGCUCCCAUGCCUCGGCCGGCCCAUCAGGCUCGCCCAGGUGGGACGCCGGGUGGUGCCCCUAGAGGGGGGGGGUACUGUCAUGCCUGUUCCCGAUUCCCCUCUCUGGUGCUCAAGAGCACCAGGCUGCCCCUCAUUACACACACCCGUCACCAUCAUUACGCGCAUCUGCGCAAUAUUGGACUCACCUGGACUUUGUUGAUUGCCCCUCUAGAUCUGUCUGCUCCUCAGUUUGUUCCCU
RNAcentral lists this long non-coding RNA (651 nucleotides) under Salmo salar (Atlantic salmon). RNAcentral's name for it is "lncRNA (ENSSSAG00000112655.1, ENSSSAG00075038519.1)". Lineage: Eukaryota; Metazoa; Chordata; Actinopteri; Salmoniformes; Salmonidae. The record is from RNAcentral.